AGGACGAACGCUGGCGGCGUGCCUAACACAUGCAAGUCGAACGAGGUCCAACCGGUGGCAACACUGGUGAAGACCGAGUGGCGAACGGGUGAGUAACACGUGAGCAACCUGCCUCGAAGACUGGGAUAACCCCGGGAAACCGGAGCUAAUACCGGAUACCCCCACCGGGUCGCAUGGCCUGGUGAGGAAAUGGAUUCCGCUUUGAGAGGGGCUCGCGGCCUAUCAGCUUGAUGGUGGGGUAAUGGCCUACCAUGGCACCGACGGGUAGCUGGUCUGAGAGGACGAUCAGCCACACUGGGACUGAGACACGGCCCAGACUCCUACGGGAGGCAGCAGUGGGGAAUCUUGCGCAAUGGGCGAAAGCCUGACGCAGCAACGCCGCGUGUGGGACGAAGGCCUUCUGGGUUGUAAACCACUUUCAGCAGGGACGAUUGUGACGGUACCUGCAGAACGAAGCCCCGGCCAACUACGCGCCAGCAGCCGCGGU
This 487-nucleotide ribosomal RNA is filed under the name uncultured bacterium. Its description in RNAcentral is "SSU rRNA". It matches the Rfam family "Bacterial small subunit ribosomal RNA", at positions 26 to 521 of the family's 1533-position model. The record is from RNAcentral.